GUAGGUGGCAAGCGUUGUCCGGAAUUAUUGGGCGUAAAGCGCGCGCAGGCGGUCCUUUAAGUCUGAUGUGAAAGCCCACGGCUCAACCGUGGAGGGUCAUUGGAAACUGGGGGACUUGAGUACAGAAGAGGAAAGCGGAAUUCCAAGUGUAGCGGUGAAAUGCGUAGAGAUUUGGAGGAACACCAGUGGCGAAGGCGGCUUUCUGGUCUGUAACUGACGCUGAGGCGCGAAAGCGUGGGGAGCAAACAGGAUUAGAUACCCUGGUAGUCCACGCCGUAAACGAUGAGUGCUAAGUGUUAGAGGGUUUCCCGCCCCUUAGUGCUGCAGCUAACGCAUUAAGCACUCCGCCUGAGGAGUACGGCCGCAAGGCUG
RNAcentral lists this ribosomal RNA (372 nucleotides) under uncultured organism. Its description in RNAcentral is "partial 16S ribosomal RNA". It matches the Rfam family "Bacterial small subunit ribosomal RNA", at positions 527 to 896 of the family's 1533-position model. The record is from RNAcentral.